GGGGUUGGGGGCACAGUGGUAGCACACUUGCCUGGCAUGUGUGAGGCACUGGGUUCAAAUCUCAGAACCUCA
RNAcentral lists this transfer RNA (72 nucleotides) under Marmota monax (woodchuck). RNAcentral's name for it is "tRNA.Ala". The record is from RNAcentral. Lineage: Eukaryota; Metazoa; Chordata; Mammalia; Rodentia; Sciuridae.